GACGAACGCUGGCGGCGUGCUUAACACAUGCAAGUCGAACGGUGAAGGGACCGGUUUUUGCUGGUUCUGGAUGAGUGGCGAACGGGUGAGUAACACGUGAGUAACCUGCCCCCUCCUUCUGGAUAACCGCAUGAAAGUGUGGCUAAUACGGGAUAUUCUGCGCCUGCUGCAUGGUGGGUGUGGGAAAGAUAUUGUUUCGGUGGGGGAUGGGCUCGCGGCCUAUCAGCUUGUUGGUGGGGUGAUGGCCUACCAAGGCGGUGACGGGUAGCCGGCCUGAGAGGGUGGACGGUCACACUGGGACUGAGACACGGCCCAGACUCCUACGGGAGGCAGCAGUGGGGAAUAUUGCACAAUGGGCGCAAGCCUGAUGCAGCGACGCCGCGUGAGUGAUGGAGGCCUUCGGGUUGUAAACCUCUUUCGCCAGUGAAGCAGGCCUGUCCCUUUUGUGGGUGGGUUGACGGUAGCUGGAUAAGAAGCGCCGGCUAACUACGUG
Molecule: ribosomal RNA, 493 nt
Filed under: uncultured bacterium
Lineage: Bacteria
Description: partial 16S ribosomal RNA
Rfam family: Bacterial small subunit ribosomal RNA
Source: RNAcentral